GGAGCGGAUGGGUGCUGGUGUGCCCUCCGGUCUUCAAAACCGGUAAUUGGGGAUAAAACCUCAUAGGUGGGUUCAAUUCCCACACGUUCC
This 90-nucleotide transfer RNA is filed under the name human gut metagenome. Its description in RNAcentral is "Selenocysteine transfer RNA". It matches the Rfam family "Selenocysteine transfer RNA". RNAcentral also lists the same sequence under 1 other name. The record is from RNAcentral.